UGGGGAAUAUUGCACAAUGGGGGAAACCCUGAUGCAGCGACGCCGCGUGAGUGAAGAAGUAUUUCGGUAUGUAAAGCUCUAUCAGCAGGGAAGAAAAUGACGGUACCUGACUAAGAAGUCCCGGCUAACUACGUGCCAGCAGCCGCGGUAAUACGUAGGGGGCAAGCGUUAUCCGGAUUUACUGGGUGUAAAGGGAGCGUAGACGGCGGUGCAAGUCUGAUGUGAAAGCCCGGGGCCCAACCCCGGAACUGCAUUGGAAACUGUACUGCUGGAGUGCAGGAGAGGUAAGCGGAAUUCCUAGUGUAGCGGUGAAAUGCGUAGAUAUUAGGAGGAACACCGGUGGCGAAGGCGGCUUACUGGACUGUAACUGACGUUGAGGCUCGAAAGCGUGGGGAGCAAACAGGAUUAGAUACCCUGGUA
RNAcentral lists this ribosomal RNA (420 nucleotides) under uncultured bacterium. RNAcentral's name for it is "bacterial SSU rRNA". It matches the Rfam family "Bacterial small subunit ribosomal RNA", at positions 355 to 792 of the family's 1533-position model. The record is from RNAcentral.